This is a long non-coding RNA of Triticum aestivum (bread wheat), 2973 nucleotides long. RefSeq lists it as uncharacterized. The transcript has 3 exons. The record is from RefSeq and is a predicted model, not a curated record. Lineage: Eukaryota; Viridiplantae; Streptophyta; Magnoliopsida; Poales; Poaceae.
CACACGCACACCCAGCUGUCACGCACGCACCCACUACCCUUGGCUGGCCAACUGGCAGUCACGCGGUGGUGCCUGCACUACCGUGGUGACAUGCCAGCCUCCUCCUUCCACCGAUGUAGGGCGGAUCGCGCCUCUCCUCCUCCGGACAUUCGGCUCACCGCCCCUCUCCUCCUCCCGAUGACGCGCGCUGCCCUCCUCCUCCCCCCACGCCGGCGGCCUCCCUCCACGCGCGCUGCCCUUCACCCCCCACGCCGUGGACCUCCUUCCACCGCUCCGGCGGCCUCGCCGUCCCAGUGCUGUUUGUGGGACAGGAACAGUGUGUGUUGAUGCCGAGCAUAACACAGAGGCAGGUGCUUGUCGAAAUGCGGAUGAGGACCAAAUAUUUUUCUAUUUGGUAUAACGAGAAGAGAAGGAAUUACCUUUUUUGAGAGCUACAGGUCAUAAUGCUUGAAUUGUUAUAUGAUUGCAUCAGUUCAGACCCGAAGAUACAAUAAUUUAAGAGUUCAACUUUCAAAAUUCUGUAAGUUUAUAUAUAUCACCUAGAUAAGUUCAACGAAAAACUCUUCAUGUUUAGUGCAUGUGCUGUUACAAAUCUGAAUACAUACUCGAAGCAGAAAGUGUAACAUAGGGGAAGGAAUGAAGUGAGCCUUGGUCUCAAUUGAUUUGAGACAUGCAUUUUUUUUAGUAUCAGCACCGUGGCUACCCAUUCAAGUAAUCACAGUCCUACAACAGCUAUGGUCUUAGUCAAAUGUUUCAGAAACGUGCAGUACUACUUGUAGCCUUCACACUUUGUCAGGGGGAGGUGACUAAAGCUCCAGUUUGCAAUUUCACUAGACUAUCUGGAUUUCAUUUAGUGUUUAAAAUUAAAUACUUUCUUGUCCAAUCAUGCUAGUACUGAUGAAUAUCGAGUUGAUUGAAAAUUUUAGUUGAUUCCUGAUCGACCAACCAUCCUGGAACGUGUAUGAGGUUGCCCUCAUGGCCACGGGGGACAUUUCACUUGACUUUGCCUGCAUCCAAGGUUCCAGCCUUUAUGUGUGGUCAAAGGAAGGUGGAUACUGAAGAACCUGCAGGAAGGUGUGGGUUCUCAUGUUCGUUAGCACAGAUGUUGGCAUAUUUAUGAUCAAGCUCAAUCCUUGACAGCUUAAGAAGGUUUACGAGCCUGGGUUCUACUUGAGCGUCCUACCCUACAUAAGCCUGUACGCUCCAGGUACGAUACUGACCCUUGCUUGUCUGUUCUCAUGCAUUUUUCUUUACAACUUCUGAAUGUUGUCAAUGCAAUUUUGUGUAUGCUAGUGAAAACUGAAUAAGUAUUAAGUGACAUGGAAAAACAGAAUGUAACUUUGUUAUCAUAUUGUACUUGUUAAGGGCCAUGACGUGCAUCGGUCAUAUUGCUAAGUGUGCACACGAACAUGAUGAUCUUGUUUUAGCCUGUAACCUUGGGAGUUAUUACUAGCACAUACCUUAACCAAGUGGAAUGCUGAGUUCAACUAUUGGUUAUUAGUUUUGAGCAUCGUAUCUUUUCAGAUCUUGGCACAUUGUUAUUGUUGUGGCCAACUGAUCUCUUGAGUCGUUUAAUUUCCGUUGAACGGUUUCCGUACAAAUUGUGCAAGUCAUUAUAAUCAUGUGUUCAGUGCAAAUUCUAAUUUUAGUUCAAUGCAAUUUCUAAUUUUACUUUAGUUCAAUUCUUAUUUUAGUUCAGAUCAGUUUCUUAUUUUAGCUCAGUUCAGUGCUAGCUAUUUGGUGCUAAUCUGUCUCAAUUCAACUAGUUAAAACGUCUCAUUAUACCUAGAUAUGCUAAUCAGUUUGACUGUUUCAGUUCAACCGGUUAAAUCGUCUAGGUUCAAAUAUAUUUAUUGUGCCAAAAACAAAUAUUAGUUAAUCCUUCUUCCACUUCCUCCACAAGAAAGUGAGCUCUAAAAGUUUUUGUGUUUCCCCUUGCGUAAAAACUCAUGGAACAAAUUCUACAGACCUGGCUAGUGUGAACUUCGAAAUAGAAAGCAUUGUACAUCAGGAAAAGCUGUCGCAACCUCCCCACAGCGCCGCCUCCUUCCAGCGCGCCGGUCCUGCGUCCCCACACGCCUCCUUCCAGCGCGCCGGUCCUGCGUCCCCACACGCCUCCUUCCAGCGCGCCGGUCCUGCGUCCCCACAUGCGCCGCCGCCUCAUUCCAGCGCACCGCCGCCGCCGACCAAAAAAUGGUGGCGCCACGGCGGCCUCACCCCACGGUCUCCUCCAUCGUUGCAUGUGCGCCAUCCUCAGUCCAACCCCAUGGCGUCGGGGUGAUCGUGUUUGUCGCGAGCAGUAGUUCGGACUUGGGCAUGGUUGUGCCUCAGCAGUUCAGAGCUCGGAUGGGCGGCAGCAGCAUCCUCCCAAGAUCGUCACCGGUGGACAAGCCAUUCAAACAGGAGCCAGCAGUUCACCUGCGCGGCCCGAUGUCAGCUGAUUCGAAGAGACCAGGUCUCUUUCUCUCUCUCUCCUCUGCUAAUUCAUCUCCCAUGCCCUUUGUUUACCUCCCUCUCAUUCUACCAGCCGAGAUCAGUGAUAAGCACAUAAGAUGUUUGUGUUUAUGCCUGAAAAAUAGUGUUUUUUCUUAUGAUUUUUACAUGGCUUAUUGCUGAGUAGUUCAACUAUGCCAAAGCUGAUCGUUCGAGUGUCUAUAUAGGCGUAGUUCAAAGCUGAUGGCUCUUGUGUGUGCAGGAGUAGUUUAAGAGGACAGAAGCUGAUGGUUCAUCAUGUAAAAAACAAAAAAAGAGGAGGAACUUGAGCUCUGCUGGUAUUUGUUUUCGCUCGUGGCCUACUCCUGCUUCGUUCAAUCUAAUGUUGCUUCUGUGCAAACAAAUUCUGAACUUGAGCUGCCUGCUGUGGCGUGCGAGUGUGAUGUUCUGAACUGAAUGAACACCUGCAUUCUGUACAAAACAAAGAGGAGGAACUUGCGCUGGUGGUGCAUCCUAUACAAAAUAAGAGGAAUAACUUGA